Molecule: non-coding RNA, 109 nt
Filed under: uncultured Ruminococcus sp.
Lineage: Bacteria; Bacillati; Bacillota; Clostridia; Eubacteriales; Oscillospiraceae
Description: FMN riboswitch (RFN element)
Rfam family: FMN riboswitch aptamer (RFN element)
About the family: The RFN element is a highly conserved domain that is found frequently in the 5'-untranslated regions of prokaryotic mRNAs that encode for flavin mononucleotide (FMN) biosynthesis and transport proteins. This element is a metabolite-dependent riboswitch that directly binds FMN in the absence of proteins.
Source: RNAcentral
GCUUCAGGGUAUGUGUAAUUCAUAACCGGUGGUAUAGUCCACGACCCGCUUUUUUGCGGCUGAUUCGGUGAAACUCCGAAACCGACGGUAAAGUCCGGAUGGAAGAAGC